GCUGAACGCUAGCGAUAGGCUUAACACAUGUAAGUCGAGGGGCCGCAUGGUCUUAGCUUGCUUAGCCUGAUGGCGACCGGAGCACCGGUGCGUAAACCGUAUCCAACUUGCUUCACAGCCGGGGCUCACACGUCCAAACACGGACUAAUACCGAGUACACUCUCUUCUGGGCCAUCAAGGCAGAGGCCAUGCCAUUCACCCUUAGAUAGGCAUACGACCCAUUAGCUAGUUGGUGGAGUAACGGCUCACGCAGGCGACGAUGGGUAGGGGAACUGAGAGGUUGAACCCCCACACGGGGACGGAGACACGGACCACACUCCUACGGGAGGGAGCAGUGAGGAGUAUUGAGCUAUGAGCGAGAGCCUGAGCCAGCCAAGUCGCGUGAAAGAUGACUUUCUUAUGGAUAGUAAACUUCUUUUGUAGGGAAAGGAAGAGGGUCACGUGUGCCCCAGUGAAUGUACCCUACGAAUAAGCAGCGGCUAACUCCGUG
RNAcentral lists this ribosomal RNA (490 nucleotides) under uncultured bacterium. Its description in RNAcentral is "partial 16S ribosomal RNA". It matches the Rfam family "Bacterial small subunit ribosomal RNA", at positions 28 to 507 of the family's 1533-position model. The record is from RNAcentral.